Molecule: ribosomal RNA, 467 nt
Filed under: uncultured bacterium
Lineage: Bacteria
Description: partial 16S ribosomal RNA
Rfam family: Bacterial small subunit ribosomal RNA
Source: RNAcentral
ACGAACGCUGGCGGCGUGCUUAACACAUGCACGUCGAACGGAAAGGCCCUGCUUUUGUGGGGUGCUCGAGUGGCGAACGGGUGAGUAACACGUGAGUAACCUGCCCUUGACUUUGGGAUAACUUCAGGAAACUGGGGCUAAUACCGGAUAGGAGCUCCUGCUGCAUGGUGGUGGUUGGAAAGUUUCGGCGGUUGGGGAUGGACUCGCGGCUUAUCAGCUUGUUGGUGGGGUAGUGGCUUACCAAGGCUUUGACGGGUAGCCGGCCUGAGAGGGUGACCGGCCACAUUGGGACUGAGAUACGGCCCAGACUCCUACGGGAGGCAGCAGUGGGGAAUAUUGCACAAUGGGCGGAAGCCUGAUGCAGCAACGCCGCGUGCGGGAUGACGGCCUUCGGGUUGUAAACCGCUUUCGCCUGUGACGAAGCGUGAGUGACGGUAAUGGGUAAAGAAGCACCGGCUAACUACGUG